Molecule: unclassified non-coding RNA, 188 nt
Filed under: fungal sp.
Lineage: Eukaryota; Fungi
Description: partial internal transcribed spacer region
Rfam family: Eukaryotic small subunit ribosomal RNA (bases 1-46)
Source: RNAcentral
AAGUCGUAACAAGGUAACCGUAGGUGAACCUGCGGUUGGAUCAUUAACAAUGGGCUUUGCCUAUACACUAUGUGAACUGUAUUUGUAAUUGGUGUCUUUAUGGCACCGCUAUUUUAACUUGAAUUAAAUGAGUCUUGGAUUUAUUAUUAAUUGAAAAACAACUUUUGACAAUGGAUCUCUUGGCUCUC